This 743-nucleotide ribosomal RNA is filed under the name Bacillus sp. (in: firmicutes). RNAcentral's name for it is "bacterial SSU rRNA". It matches the Rfam family "Bacterial small subunit ribosomal RNA", at positions 73 to 801 of the family's 1533-position model. Lineage: Bacteria; Bacillati; Bacillota; Bacilli; Caryophanales; Bacillaceae. The record is from RNAcentral.
UGGGAGCUUGCUCCCUGAGGUUAGCGGCGGACGGGUGAGUAACACGUGGGUAACCUGCCUGUAAGAUUGGGAUAACUCCGGGAAACCGGAGCUAAUACCGGAUAACAUUUCGAACCGCAUGGUUCGAAAUUGAAAGAUGGCUUCGGCUAUCACUUACAGAUGGACCCGCGGCGCAUUAGCUAGUUGGUGAGGUAACGGCUCACCAAGGCCACGAUGCGUAGCCGACCUGAGAGGGUGAUCGGCCACACUGGGACUGAGACACGGCCCAGACUCCUACGGGAGGCAGCAGUAGGGAAUCUUCCGCAAUGGACGAAAGUCUGACGGAGCAACGCCGCGUGAACGAUGAAGGCCUUCGGGUCGUAAAGUUCUGUUGUUAGGGAAGAACAAGUACCAGAGUAACUGCUGGUACCUUGACGGUACCUAACCAGAAAGCCACGGCUAACUACGUGCCAGCAGCCGCGGUAAUACGUAGGUGGCAAGCGUUGUCCGGAAUUAUUGGGCGUAAAGCGCUCGCAGGCGGUUUCUUAAGUCUGAUGUGAAAGCCCACGGCUCAACCGUGGAGGGUCAUUGGAAACUGGGGAACUUGAGUGCAGAAGAGGAGAGUGGAAUUCCACGUGUAGCGGUGAAAUGCGUAGAGAUGUGGAGGAACACCAGUGGCGAAGGCGACUCUCUGGUCUGUAACUGACGCUGAGGAGCGAAAGCGUGGGGAGCGAACAGGAUUAGAUACCCUGGUAGUCCACGCC